AAAAUGUGUGGUUAAAAAUUGUAAAUUUUACUUUUUUGUUUAUAACAUCGUUGUGCCUCAAACGAAAGUUAAUUUCCAACAUACCUUACAGUGAUAAUCGAUAAAUAAAUUCUUUGCUUCCCGCCAACUGGUUUAAAUGAUAAAAAGACCGGCGAAGAAUAACAGACGCUUCGAAAACGUUAUAAAUGCAACUGGAAACAGUGGACCAAUCAGACAGCAGCGCAUUGAUGUGAUUCCUGGAAACGGUGCGAGUGAUCAAAGAAGAAACGAGAACUACCAUCACAAUGACGUUUCAACUGAGAUCUUCCAGUGGUAAAUUAUUUGAAGUCAGCAAUGCAAUUAUGGAGCACUCAUCAACCAUACGUAGAAUAAGACGUGAAACAAAAUGUGAGGGGCUGGUUCCCGUCUUGGAUGUACCUCGCGUAGACCCAGAACCGUUGACGUACGUUUUAAUUUGGUUUGAACAUAACCUCCAUGAAGUUAAACAACCGCAGUACGAAUACGGCCUUUCUGAGUUUGACAGAGAUUUCUUCAGAAUGCUUUAUUCGUAUCGGAAGAGCGGUUUGAUCAAGGAUUUUUUCAAGACUGCAGAGUAUUUGAAAUUGAAGCGUUUGAUUAAACUCUCAGAGUUGUUUUCGAACUUAAUCUCUUGGGAGAAAAUUUUGAAAAAAUAAUUAGUUUCUAACAUGCUGUGUUCACAUGUGUAUUUCUUUAUGUACAAAUUACAUUGUAACAAUAAAUAAAUAAAUAUAUAUAUUUUAA
Long non-coding RNA from Aethina tumida (small hive beetle), 762 nucleotides. RefSeq lists it as uncharacterized. The record is from RefSeq and is a predicted model, not a curated record. The transcript is spliced from 4 exons. NCBI's taxonomy places the organism in Eukaryota, Metazoa, Arthropoda, Insecta, Coleoptera, Nitidulidae.